GGUUGUUUUCUUGUACUCUGCUUGUGUUGGAAUAAUAGAUACGUUUCCAGUGCUGGGUGUUGAUAACACUGGUGUUUUUGGGUGUAGAACUAAACGUUUUAGGUUCCUUUUAAUCCAGAAACCUAACAUUUUUUCUAUCAAUCUUAUUUGUUCAACUAUCUUCUUGCAAAAUACCUAUGAGACAUCUGGGUUUUUAUCAAUGUAAUGUUGUCUUUUUUUAUAAUAAAAAAAAUUGUAAUCCAGCCUAACCAACUCCUUUCAGGGCCCCCCAGGGACUGGGAAGACUCAGACCAUACUUGGGAUUCUAAGUACCAUUUUGCAUGCAACUCCUACAAGAGUGCAUUCUAAGACCUAUGAGCUAAGGCAAGGACCACAAUUACCUACUGAGGAGAAGUCCAUAGCAGAGUACCCUUCCAAAAUGAUAAAGUUGAUUUUAACCUCUAUAGUAUCUCUUGCAUGUUGGCUAGCUCUUUUACCCUUUUUUGUAGAAUUCAAGAAUAAUUUAGUUUGGUUAGAUGAUGUUCAACAAGAGCCUUGUAAUAUUUGGUUUCAAAGUACAUAUCUUGCAAAAUUACCUUGGGAUGGUGACCACUUCUGUCCCAAGAUCAAUUAAAAUAAACCGCAAAUGGGUUUUAUACU
Molecule: non-coding RNA, 639 nt
Organism: Vigna umbellata (rice bean)
Lineage: Eukaryota; Viridiplantae; Streptophyta; Magnoliopsida; Fabales; Fabaceae
Source: RefSeq, a predicted model, not a curated record